ACCUCCAUAGUACCUGCAGCGU
Molecule: microRNA, 22 nt
Filed under: Mus musculus (house mouse)
Lineage: Eukaryota; Metazoa; Chordata; Mammalia; Rodentia; Muridae
Description: mmu-miR-1930-5p
Source: miRBase by way of RNAcentral